RNAcentral lists this ribosomal RNA (235 nucleotides) under Clostridioides difficile. RNAcentral describes it as "partial 23S ribosomal RNA". It matches the Rfam family "Bacterial large subunit ribosomal RNA", at positions 2555 to 2789 of the family's 2925-position model. Lineage: Bacteria; Bacillati; Bacillota; Clostridia; Peptostreptococcales; Peptostreptococcaceae. The record is from RNAcentral.
GUAGUAGGUCCCAAGGGUUGGGCUGUUCGCCCAUUAAAGUGGUACGCGAGCUGGGUUCAGAACGUCGUGAGACAGUUCGGUCCCUAUCCGUCGCAGGCGUAGGAAAUGUGAGAAGACCUGUCCUUAGUACGAGAGGACCGGGAUGGACGUACCUCUGGUGUACCAGUUGUUCUGCCAAGGGCAUGGCUGGGUAGCUAUGUACGGAAUGGAUAAGCGCUGAAAGCAUCUAAGCGCG